This 238-nucleotide ribosomal RNA is filed under the name uncultured bacterium. RNAcentral describes it as "partial 16S ribosomal RNA". It matches the Rfam family "Bacterial small subunit ribosomal RNA", at positions 96 to 334 of the family's 1533-position model. The record is from RNAcentral.
CGGCGCACGGGUGAGUAACGCGUACGCAACUUACCCUUGAGAGUGGCAUAGCCCUGGGAAACCGGGAUUAAUACCGCAUAGUUUAUGGAUUCGGCAUCGAAUCGAUAAUAAAGCUACGGCGCUCAAGGAUAGGCGUGCGUUCCAUUAGCUAGUUGGUGAGGUAACGGCUCACCAAGGCGACGAUGGGUAGGGGGCGUGAGAGCGUGGCCCCCCACACGGGUACUGAGACACGGACCCG